AUCUGCGGACAUACCAGCUGAACGCACCUGACCUCCUGUGAUCUCGGAAGCUAAGCAGCAGUCUGGUUAGUACUUGGAUGGGAGACUGCCUUGGAAUACUGGGUGCUACAGGCU
Molecule: ribosomal RNA, 114 nt
Organism: Cercocebus atys (sooty mangabey)
Lineage: Eukaryota; Metazoa; Chordata; Mammalia; Primates; Cercopithecidae
Source: Ensembl